This 633-nucleotide ribosomal RNA is filed under the name uncultured fungus. RNAcentral describes it as "eukaryotic LSU rRNA". It matches the Rfam family "Eukaryotic large subunit ribosomal RNA", at positions 37 to 651 of the family's 3401-position model. The record is from RNAcentral. Lineage: Eukaryota; Fungi.
AGCAUAUCAAUAAGCGGAGGAAAAGAAACUAACAAGGAUUCCCUUAGUAACUGCGAGUGAAGAGGGAAAAGCUCAAAUUUAAAAUCUGACAGCCUUGGUUGUCCGAGUUGUAAAUUAGAGAAGUGCUAUCUGUGCUGGCCUGUGCAAAAGUCUCUUGGAAGAGGGCAUCAUAGAGGGUGAUAAUCCCGUCUUUGGCACAGAUCCCAGGGCGCUUGUGAUACGCUUUCAAAGAGUCGAGUUGUUUGGGAAUGCAGCUCCAAAUGGGUGGUAAAUUCCAUCUAAAGCUAAAUAUUGGCGAGAAACCGAUAGUGAACAAGUACCGUGAGGGAAAGAUGAAAAGGACUUUGAAAAGAGAGUUAAACAGUGCAUGAAAUUGUUGAAAGGGAAACGCUUAAAGUCAGUCAUAUUCUUCAGAAAUCAACUUGAUUUUUUGAAUCUUGCUUACUUUCUGUUGAAUGGGUCAGCAUCAAUUUUGACCAUUGGACAAAGGCAUUGGGAAGGUAGCAUCUUUUAGAUGUGUUAUAGCCCAGUGAUCCAAAUACAUUGGUUGGGAUUGAGGAACUCAGUGUGAACCUGGGGCUUCGGCUCACAUUCCGCACUUUGGAUGCUGGCAUAAUGGCUUUAAUCGACCCG